RNAcentral lists this unclassified non-coding RNA (1090 nucleotides) under Hevea brasiliensis (rubber tree). The record is from RNAcentral. Lineage: Eukaryota; Viridiplantae; Streptophyta; Magnoliopsida; Malpighiales; Euphorbiaceae.
UGUCCAAACAGAUCACGGAUAUUAUCAAUUCCAUACAAUAUCAUCGUUGGUCUUUCAAGUGAAAGGCCCCAUGCAAUAACACUAACAUCUUCUGGAAAUCCCAUGGGACGCAACAUUUCGGGCCUGAACAUUCCAGAAUUUCCAAUCUCCACCCAUUUCCCAAAGCCUUCGUGAUAGCUGAAAAUCUCCAUGCUAGGUUCGGUAUAUGGAUUAUAAGCAGGCUUGAACCGCAGCUUAGACAUCCCCAAUCGUGAAAAGAAGUCCUCCAGGAUUCCAAUCAGGUGACUCAAAGUAAGGCCUCGAUCACACACCAGACCUUCUAUCUGAUGGAACUCCGCAAGAUGAGUACGAUCUACUGCUUCAUUUCUGAAAACUCGAUCGAUUGAGAAGUAUCUUUUGGGACUAAAAGGAUGCACUUUUGCGUGCUGUGCUAGUGCAUAAAGCAUCUGUGAUGAAAUUGCCGUUGUGUGAGUUCGCAAAAGGUUUUUGUUUGCUUCAUCUCUUUUCCAUUCAUAUCCAUAUCCUCUUGAUCCAUAACCCCCCGACUCAUGAACCUCCUUCACUUGUUCAACAUAAUCCUCUGGCAGCUGCCUUGUCGUUGAAGGAACUUGCAAGAAGAAUGUAUCAUGUGAAUCACGGGCAGGAUGUUGUUGUGGCUGGAACAGUGCAUCAAAAUUCCAGAAGCUGCUCUCAACAUAUCUAUUUGUUGGCAUUUCCUCAAAAUUUAGUUGACGAAAAAUAUCCUUCAAUCGGUCUUUAACCUUGUUCAGUGGAUGAAGAUGGCCACAUUCAGGUGGUGGACCCUUGGCACUGAAGUUAUACUCCUUAAACUCUAGUUCCUUCCAAUCACCCCUCUGUAGAUUUUCCCGAGUCAAAUCAGUUGCUGGUUUCUUUCUUUUCGGUGCAUAGUUAGGACCUUUUCUCACUGAGUAGCCCUUCCAAGUCUGUAAAACAAUCAGCUUUCUUGCUUUCAAUGAAUUAAUAUCAUCCUUGUCAAUUGCCUUGGCAUCUUGAAUCCGCAAAAGCAAGUCCUUUACUUUGUCUUCCACAUGUUGAACCUUCCUCGAUAUAUGCUUUCCCAUUUCCACCC